ACUUGCAUUCCCACCAACAAUGUAGGAGGGAUCCCCUUUCUCCACAUCCUCUCCAGCAAUUGUUGUUUCUUGCCUUGUCAAUUUUUAUCAGGCACACAUAUCUUAAAGGCACCAUGGUCAGUAGGAGUUAAGGCAGGAGGCUUAUUUCUCAGUGCUGCAGCAGAAAGACUUUGGUCUCAUAAUGGAAUAUUUGGAUUUCCAGCUUGGCUCUGUGUGACCUUGGAGAAGCCCAUUCCACCUUCGUCUGUCCACAUCGGGAAGUCAGCAAAGGAAGCGUCAAAGUAAGGAGGCUCGAUUAAUUGUAUAUCCCUGUCAUGGAUCCAAGUACUGCAAAGAAAAUUCAAGUUUAAUUCAUCCUAAAUCAUCAUCCAGCCUGACAAGAUCUACAUUUCUUGAAAUCUGGACCCGGAAGCCUGCUCUCACCUGUGGUGGCUAAUGAGUCCAGCCAUCAUGCUGCCCUCGUUGCCCAAGUAAAUCUGAUGUUGACUCUCGGCCCAGCUGCCAUGCCAUAGAUCUGGCCGCCAUAGGCUGCUGCUUCCUAAUCUGUAUAAUGGGUAUACAGUGCUGCUGCCAUGUUAUGGAAGGAGAAACGAAUCGUGUCUCCCAAGAAUCCCUGCUUGGCAAGGGCCACAUGUCACCAUGGAUGUCCUGGAAUGUCCCAUAGCUGCAUGGCCUGAGAAAUGCAGUGCUGCUGGACUUUUCCAGGACUUCAGAGGGGAACCCCACUCCAGAGCCUUCCACAAGUCAGGGUUGCGGUGAGGAUUCAGUCAUUCACGCAAGUACUGAGCGAUGCCUGGCACCUGGAAGUCUUCAAAGUGUAUCAGCUCCUUACUCACGGGGGAAAGUUACAGCUGUAUGAAACGCUUAUUUCUCAGAGAGGCAGAGAAGCUCCUGGUGACCUCCGCGGUGACCUUCAGAUACGGACUGAACAUGAAUGAUACCUUUUCUGGCCGGCGCACCUUCCAGGUCUGAGAAAGGGCAGCCACAGGGGCCCAAACUGGCCCAGGCCUCAGGCUGGAAGGGGUAAGAUCGUGCACAGGAGCCAGGAAAGGCUUGUCACCAACGUGGAUAGUGACUGAAACCAAUCACCCGCCCAGCAGGAGCUGCCAGGGGCUGCGGCUCCAAACAGUAGGCCUCUGGGAGACAAGCAAGGACCCCUUUGCUCGCGCUGCUCACUUCACACGCAGUUAGACAUCCUACAAUGCAUCCCACAGCACUCCAUGCAGAAGUGUGGGCACCUCCCAACCCCCAGCCACAGCCACCCUGCCCCAGGGCAUGAUUCAGUGUCUGGGCUUAUUUAUGAGAGACCAUGAGUUCAUUUCAAAAUGUCAAAUGAUCCUUGGUGACUAAUGGCCCCCUCUGUGCUCCGUAUCUUCGCAGAGGUCGUCCUCCCGCGCUCCGAGGGCCUCUGUGCUUCGGGAACACCCAUCUGGGUGCGUGAUGCAAGGAGCUACUAUGUCAUUGAAUCACCCAAAAAAGCCGGGGAGCCCAGACCCUGCUGGGGUGAGCACUGGGGUGUCUCAGCAACAAGGCACACCCCAAAGAAUGAGGGAGGCGAUGGCUGGAGAAUGGGAGCAUAUGCAUUCAACCGUCGAGAAGAAAAUAAACGGUGCAUGGGACAAGUGGGCCUCAUGCGAUGUGUUCAGAAAACAAUUUUAUUAUUUUACCAUUUUUGCCCAUA
Long non-coding RNA from Ailuropoda melanoleuca (giant panda), 1681 nucleotides. RefSeq lists it as uncharacterized. NCBI's taxonomy places the organism in Eukaryota, Metazoa, Chordata, Mammalia, Carnivora, Ursidae. The transcript is spliced from 5 exons. The record is from RefSeq and is a predicted model, not a curated record.